RNAcentral lists this ribosomal RNA (406 nucleotides) under uncultured bacterium. RNAcentral describes it as "partial 16S ribosomal RNA". It matches the Rfam family "Bacterial small subunit ribosomal RNA", at positions 30 to 526 of the family's 1533-position model. The record is from RNAcentral.
AUUGAACGCUGGCGGCAGGCCUAACACAUGCAAGUCGAACGAGUGGCGGACGUGUGUGUAAUGUCUGGGACACUGCCCGAUGGAGGGGGAUAACUACUGGAAACGAUAUAUAAUACCGCAUACCAUCAGAUGUGCCCAGAGGGGUUUAGCUUGUAGGUGGGGUAACGGCUCAUCUAGGCGACGAUCCCUAGCUGGUCUGAGAGGAUGACCAGCCACACUGGAACUGAGACACGGCCCAGACUCCUACGGGAGGCAGCAGUGGGGAAGAUUGCACAAUGGGCGCAAGCCUGAUGCAGCCAUGCCGCGUGUGUGAAGAAGGCCUUCGGGUUGUAAAGCACUUUCAGCGGGGAGGCGUUACCCGCAGAAGAAGCACCGGCUAACUCCGUGCCAGCAGCCGCGGUAAUAC